RNAcentral lists this unclassified non-coding RNA (304 nucleotides) under plant metagenome. Its description in RNAcentral is "partial contains 5.8S ribosomal RNA, internal transcribed spacer 2, and large subunit ribosomal RNA". The stretch from base 1 to 104 matches the Rfam family "5.8S ribosomal RNA", at positions 51 to 154 of the family's 154-position model. The record is from RNAcentral.
AAAUGCGAUAAGUAGUGUGAAUUGCAGAAUUCAGUGAAUCAUCGAAUCUUUGAACGCACAUUGCGCCCUUUGGUAUUCCUUAGGGCAUGCCUGUUCGAGCGUCAUCUAAACCUUCAAGCCCUGCUUGGUGUUGGGUGCCUGUCCCGCCUCCGCGCGCGGACUCACCUCAAAUCCAUUGGCGGCCCCCGCGUCGGCCACGAGCGCAGCAGAAACGCGAACUCGUGAGCCCGUCCGGGCGGCUCCCAGAAGCUACACCCACCCAGUUUGACCUCGGAUCAGGUAGGGAUACCCGCUGAACUCAGGC